Molecule: ribosomal RNA, 217 nt
Filed under: Clostridioides difficile
Lineage: Bacteria; Bacillati; Bacillota; Clostridia; Peptostreptococcales; Peptostreptococcaceae
Description: partial 16S ribosomal RNA
Rfam family: Bacterial small subunit ribosomal RNA
Source: RNAcentral
UUUAAUUCGAAGCAACGCGAAGAACCUUACCUAAGCUUGACAUCCCAAUGACAUCUCCUUAAUCGGAGAGUUCCCUUCGGGGACAUUGGUGACAGGUGGUGCAUGGUUGUCGUCAGCUCGUGUCGUGAGAUGUUGGGUUAAGUCCCGCAACGAGCGCAACCCUUGUCUUUAGUUGCCAUCAUUAAGUUGGGCACUCUAGAGAGACUGCCAGGGAUAA